CCUACGGGAGGCUGCAGUGGGGAAUAUUGGACAAUGGGGGGAACCCUGAUCCAGCCAUGCCGCGUGUGUGAAGAAGGUCCUCGGGUUGUAAAGCACUUUCAGUGAGGAAGAACGCCUGGUGGUUAAUACCCAUCAGGAAAGACAUCACUCACAGAAGAAGCACCGGCUAACUCCGUGCCAGCAGCCGCGGUAAUACGGAGGGUGCGAGCGUUAAUCGGAAUUACUGGGCGUAAAGCGCGCGUAGGUGGCUUGAUAAGCCGGUUGUGAAAGCCCCGGGCUCAACCUGGGAACGGCAUCCGGAACUGUCAAGCUAGAGUGCAGGAGAGGAAGGUAGAAUUCCCGGUGUAGCGGUGAAAUGCGUAGAGAUCGGGAGGAAUACCAGUGGCGAAGGCGGCCUUCUGGACUGACACUGACACUGAGGUGCGAAAGCGUGGGUAGCAAACAGGAUUAGAUACCCGUGUAGUC
RNAcentral lists this ribosomal RNA (465 nucleotides) under Vreelandella stevensii. RNAcentral's name for it is "partial 16S ribosomal RNA". It matches the Rfam family "Bacterial small subunit ribosomal RNA", at positions 338 to 795 of the family's 1533-position model. The record is from RNAcentral. Lineage: Bacteria; Pseudomonadati; Pseudomonadota; Gammaproteobacteria; Oceanospirillales; Halomonadaceae.